This 497-nucleotide ribosomal RNA is filed under the name uncultured bacterium. RNAcentral's name for it is "partial 16S ribosomal RNA". It matches the Rfam family "Bacterial small subunit ribosomal RNA", at positions 28 to 507 of the family's 1533-position model. The record is from RNAcentral.
GAUGAACGCUGGCGGCGUGCCUAAUACAUGCAAGUCGAGCGAACGGACGAGAAGCUUGCUUCUCUGAUGUUAGCGGCGGACGGGUGAGUAACACGUGGAUAACCUACCUAUAAGACUGGGAUAACUUCGGGAAACCGGGGCUAAUACCGGAUAAUAUUUUGAACCGCAUGGUUCAAAAGUGAAAGACGGUCUUGCUGUCACUUAUAGAUGGAUCCGCGCUGCAUUAGCUAGUUGGUAAGGUAACGGCUUACCAAGGCAACGAUGCAUAGCCGACCUGAGAGGGUGAUCGGCCACACUGGAACUGAGACACGGUCCAGACUCCUACGGGAGGCAGCAGUAGGGAAUCUGCCGCAAUGGGCGAAAGCCUGACGGAGCAACGCCGCGUGAGUGAUGAAGGUCUUCGGAUCGUAAAACUCUGUUAUUAGGGAAGAACAUAUGUGUAAGUAACUGUGCACAUCUUGACGGUACCUAAUCAGAAAGCCACGGCUAACUACGUG